CAAUACACAUUAAAUUGCAAAUGAGAUGCAUGGAUUGUGGCCCAAAUCUUUCCAAUUUUUCGCCACAAUCAAACACGGCAAACCAAAAGCCUUUUAAUUACUUUUCCCGGAUUUUUAGCCCACUCUCUAGUAACUAUUCUUGCUAGGGUUUUUAUUAUGAGUUCUAAUUCAAAGAGCUCCUCCCCUGUUGCGUCCUGUUGCUGCUAAUCGAAGAAGAACGGUAAGAAGACAUGUUGCUGCUGAUCGAAGAAGAACGGAUUCUCUGAUAAGAGAUUGGAUUGAAGGUCAACAGUUCCACACUUUUAGUUUUAAAUACCAAUUUCAUGAGAAGUUUAUCUAUUCCUUGUUAUUUGUGGUAAUUGGAUCUGUUUGGUCAUGGAAAGUUUGCUUUA
Molecule: non-coding RNA, 392 nt
Organism: Nicotiana tabacum (common tobacco)
Lineage: Eukaryota; Viridiplantae; Streptophyta; Magnoliopsida; Solanales; Solanaceae
Source: RefSeq, a predicted model, not a curated record